RNAcentral lists this ribosomal RNA (482 nucleotides) under uncultured bacterium. RNAcentral's name for it is "partial 16S ribosomal RNA". It matches the Rfam family "Bacterial small subunit ribosomal RNA", at positions 28 to 507 of the family's 1533-position model. The record is from RNAcentral.
GACGAACGCUGGCGGCGUGCUUAACACAUGCAAGUCGAACGGAAAGGCCUGCUUUUCGUUGUGUACUGAGGGGACGCGCGUGGCAAAAGGGCGAGAAUCACGUGAGUGAUACUUUCCGAACUCGGGUAGAAGCUGGGGCAACUGGGUGUAAUUAGCGCCAGGACCGUAGGGUGGGUUGUGAGGUGGAAAACGAUGUGGUUGGGGUCGGGGAUUAUCAGGUUGCGGAUGGGGUUGUGGGUGGGCAAGUGGGUGACGGGUAGCCUGCCGGGGAGGGUGGCCGGGAACAGUGGGACUGAGAUACGGCGCAGACGCCUACGGGAGGCAGCAGUGGGGAAUAUUGCGCGAUGGGCGGAAGCCUGAUGCAGCGAGGCCGCGUGGGGGAUGACGGCCUUCGGGUUGUAAACUCCUGUCGACCGCGAGGAAGCCACCGGGUUGGAAGGGUGGUGACGGUAGUGGUAGAAGAAGCACCGGCUAACUACGUG